Molecule: non-coding RNA, 323 nt
Organism: Coturnix japonica (Japanese quail)
Lineage: Eukaryota; Metazoa; Chordata; Aves; Galliformes; Phasianidae
Source: RefSeq, a predicted model, not a curated record
GGUUUAGCAAACAUUUGACUGACUCUGUACUAUACUGGUAACUCAUUAACAAGCACAGGGAAAGAGAGCAAACUAGUCACCAAGCACAACACCCUUUGCUGGAAUAGAGCUAACACUCAGCUGAAUAGAGAUGGACUGGAGCAGCUGCACUACCAUGGGUUUAGUGUUCAUCCUGACGUUUUUGUUCAUUAUGAAAAUUGGAGGUGUCUGGAGUAACCACCGGAGAAAGAACUUUCCACCAGGACCAAGGGCAUUACCCAUCAUUGGAAACCUUCAUCUGUUUGAUUUGAAGAGACCCUACAGGACUUACUUACAGGUAGUCA